Long non-coding RNA from Cyprinus carpio (common carp), 2848 nucleotides. NCBI's taxonomy places the organism in Eukaryota, Metazoa, Chordata, Actinopteri, Cypriniformes, Cyprinidae. The record is from Ensembl.
AUGUCAGAAAACAGGACAAUGGAAGACUCUACCUCUGGAUCCAAUACAAGACUCUCUGAAAUAAGAAUAUUAAUGAUUGGGGGUCGAGAGUUGGGGGCAAAAGAAGCAAGUGGAAAAAGUUCAGCAGGAAACAUCAUUUUGGGGAGAAAUGCUUUUGAUAUUAGUAGAAGAACAGCACGAUCUGUUCAAGCUACAGGAGACGUGGACGGAAGACAUCUGAUUGUUGUUGACACACCAGGCUGGUGGUGGCAUUAUACUAUUCAAAAUACUCCACAGUUUGAUAGACUGGAAAUUAUAAAAAGUCCAACACUAUGUCUUCCUGGACCUCAUGCCAUCCUUCUGGUCAUACCUGUAUAUUUAGCAUUUCCAAGUAUCUACAGAAUGACUCUGGAACAACAAAUAAAGUUUUUGUCUAAUGAGGUCUGGAAACACAUUAUUGUGUUGUUCACUUCUACCGAGCCAUGUGAUGAGAGCUCUUUGAAAAACAAGGUCAGAAAAUGGCCAGAUCUCGAACAGCUAUUAGGGAGGUGUCACAACAGAUACCACAUUCUUAAUAUUAACAACCAGAGUGACAGCACUCAAGUGAUCGCACUGCUGGAAAAGAUUGAGAAAUUGGCAGCACAAAACAAGGGCCAAUGUCUUAAAAUCAGCCAAAGCAUAUCUGCAUGGAUUCAGAAGGAAAAAACAACAAAUAAAAGAGACAAACAAAGAAUACUCACGGAAGGAAAACAAACGACUGAACUUAAAGCUGACAGCAGAGAUGGGGCACAACAUCUGACUGAUAUAAGGAUUGUGAUAGUUGGAGCUUCUUGGGCUGCGAGAAGCUCUGCAGGCAACGUCAUUCUGGGGGAAGAAGCUUUUGAAGUUGACGAUUCAAGAACAACAGUGCGCUGUGCAGUUGGUCAUGCUAAAGUACAUGGCAGACAGCUAACAGUGGUCGACACUCCAGGCUGGUACUAUAAGAGUCUUCUUGAAAACACAUCAGAGAUGGACAAACUGGAGAUCAGAUGUAGUGUGUAUUUAUGCCCUUCUGGACCACAUGCUAUUUUGUUAACUGUUCCCAUUGCCACAGCUUUUGACAAGUCUUAUCAAACUGCUGUGGAGGGACAUAUGAGACUUUUGGGGGAAAAUGUCUGGAAUCAUACAAUUGUGCUGUUCACUCGAGGAGACUGGCUUGGCGAUACAACCAUUGAGGAACGUAUUGAGACAGAAGAAGGACGCCUUGAGUGGCUGAUGGAAAAAUGUGGAUACAGAUAUCAUGUUUUAAAUUGUAAAUGGCACAAUAACAACACACAAGUAGUGGAACUCCUUGAAAAGAUUGAAAAAAUGGUGACGGAGAACAAUGGCUGUUAUUAUGUUCCAGAAAUAAAUGAUCCAAUUGAGCUUGAAAAGAAGAGAAAAACUGCAAGUACUAACAAGAUGAACGUGAGCAAGCAAAGACAUAUCCUUAAAGAGUUGCUUAAAGACCGAAAAUACAAUCUCUCAAAUGUGAGGAUCGUGCUUCUUGGAGCAGAGGGAGUCGGGAAGAGCACGUCAGGAAACGCCAUUCUGCAAGGAUAUUUUUUUGAGCCCACACUGGGAGAGGGUCAUGAAAUCCAUACAAGGCAAUGUGUAACAAAACAGAGGAAAGUUGAGGGACGUCAUGUCUCAGUGGUGGACACACCUGGCUGGUCCACAUCAACUCUGGAAAAUGAAAAAGAAAUUUUACGCAGUCUGGAAGUUUGUUCUCCAGGACCUCAUGCAUUCCUGCUAGUGUUGCCUGUACGCAAGCCUUUUACAAAGAAAUGUCAGCAAACAGUGGAGGAGCUCAUGAGCCUUUUUAGAGAGAAUGUCUGGAGACAUACAAUAAUAUUAUUCACUGAGGCACACUGGCUGAAGAAUAAACCAGUUGAGGAGUAUAUUGCAUGCGAAGGAGAAGCUUUGCAAGAGUUGAUAAGUAAGUGUGGAAACAGAUAUCAUGUGAUAGACAAUGACUGGGAUAACAGAUCUCAAGUCAGAGUUUUGUUAAAGAUGAUUGAACAAAUGGUGGCAAGAAAUAGAGGUGAAUACUUCACUCUUGAAAAAAAGGCAAGCAAGCCAGGAGUCCUCAGGUGGCUCAGUGGGUCAAAGACACUAACUGAAGAGGAGUGGAUGAAACGUGAGGAUGAACUUAUUGACAGGGUGUUGAAAACACUAGUGGCGGAUCCAGAUGAAAACCCCAAGCAGUCAUCUCAUGAACUAAAAGGAAGUUUUGAUGGCUCAAUCCCAAAUAUGAGUGGAGAUUCUGGAUUUUCUGACGUAAACAGUGUAUUUGGAGUUGAUGUUCUCAACUCUACUGUUAAAGUAAGUAAUUGGCUUGGGCGUCCAGGAAAUGAUGCAACAUCAUCAGGGUAUGACACCAUGAGCAUUGCAUCCAGUACUCAGUAUCAGAAGAUGGAAGAUGUCAAGGUUGAUAUUCCAGGGUCCAGACAACCAGUGGGCAAUCUGAAACCUGCUCGUGAUACGAGUGCAAAAAAGCAUUCAAGAUCAAGAUCAAUAUAAAGCAACUGUUCUGUGCAUUGUGGGACAAGAUGAAACAAUCAAAAUAUUAACAGAUCAGGUAACAUGCAUUUCUGCUAGUACCUGUACUUGAGCGUUUCAAAAAGAAAACUCAACAGACAGUUAAGAAGCUCAUGAGCCUUUUUGGUUUAUAUGGCAGAUGUCAGAAAUUGUAUUCCAGUGUCCAUACACAGACCAUGAUACACCAACACAUGACAUAUACACUUAAACAAACAUCAGAAACACAAGUAAAAACAAUGUAUAAACCUUAAAAAGUACUUGCAAUUAAAUAUUUAAUAAAGAUGUAUACCCAGGUUUAAUCUCGAUGAAU